AACAAAUGUAACACACCGUGGAGUCACAGAUAAUGAUUUACGGACCAGGCUCAGAUAUAGGCUAAAGACAAUUUAUUUCGGGGAAAAGUCACUUACAGAAGAAGCAGAUGGCCGCCGCAGGUUCCCACUCUAAGGAUGUACACAGGCUGCUCUUCUGUGACCCAACCGGAAGCAAGGGAGAGUGCUGUGGUCCUACCAGAUCUAGUCGGACCCUCUGUCAUAUCUGCACCUGUAACCAUACCCAAACGGGCAUGGACAGUGCUACAGGUGUGGGCUGAGUGGAUGUCUUACUACAACACACAUUCACAUAGUUAAAGUACUAUUCCACACAUAAACAAUGUAACACACCUUUAGACAGUUAAUGUUCUACAGAAGAAACAACUGUAACACAUCUCUACACAGUUAAAUAUUCCACAAGAACUAGGGACAGGCUUUGAGAGUUUCUAAUCUCGCUCCAUUUCCCACUCAGUUUCCCUUUGCUUUCCGUGUGGGGUUGAAGAUGUGACAUGCCAUCUUCCAGAUCUGACUACCAGUUGCCAUGCCACCCUCAAGGCUUCCCCAUCCAUUAGACUCUCUGCUGGAACCAUAAACCAAGAGCGUCUGCCAGGCUACAAACGACAGUUCCAAAUCUGAUGUCACAUAGAUUGUGCCUGUUAAAAUCAGUGUGUCGCAAAACAAAAAGGCAUGGAUGUGGGGAAGGGAUCUUCCGAGAGGAUGGAGGCGGCAGGAGUGGAAGGAGAAAGGCCGACUCUAAGAGGAAACGGAAUGCAUUAUGUGUGUGCACAUGGAAAACUGCCAGUGAACACGUGAUCAGGGUGAACAACAAACAACAGCAGGAACGAUUUUACAGUGUUUGAAACAAGAUCUCUCGAUGAACCCCAUUCAGCAUGACUCACUGGCCACCAAGCCCCAGGGACAUGCCCAUCUGCCUUUCCAGAACUGGGAUUACAGGCACUAGUUGCCAAGCCCGGCUUUUUAUGGACUUAGAAUCACCAUGGAAACACACCUUCAGGUAUAUUUGUGAGGGUGUCUCCAGAGAGAUUUAGCAGAGGGAGAGAAAAAAAAAGACCCUCCCUGAAUGUGGACAGAGCAUCCUACAGGUUGGGGUCCUGGUCCACAUGAAAAGGAGGAAGUGACCUGAGCACCCACGUUCUUUUCUCUCUGCUCCAGUUCUUACCACCACGCCUUCCCCACCAUGGUGGACUUCAUCCUUGAACCGUGAGCCACAAGAAACCUUUCCUUCCUGAAGUCGAUUCUGCCAGGAAUUGUGUCACAGCUAUGAAUAAAGAACUGCUGGGGUUUUGUAGCAUCCAAAGCAGCGAACAUCACUUAAAAGAUGACAAUUUUCAUCACUCCAGCAAGUUCCCUUCUGUACGCUUAUAACUAACUGGGUCUCUACCGGGUCUCUCUAAACUCUAUUUCCAGAAACAAGCUGAUUUGGUUUGCAUAUAAAUGAAGUUAUGCAUUA
Molecule: long non-coding RNA, 1468 nt
Organism: Mesocricetus auratus (golden hamster)
Lineage: Eukaryota; Metazoa; Chordata; Mammalia; Rodentia; Cricetidae
Exons: 3
Source: RefSeq, a predicted model, not a curated record